GCCUGGGUGGCUUAGUCGGUUAAGCGUCCGACUUCAGCUCAGGUCAUGAUCUCACAGUCCGUGAGUUCGAGCCCCGCCUCGGGUU
RNAcentral lists this transfer RNA (85 nucleotides) under Felis catus (domestic cat). It matches the Rfam family "tRNA". From Rfam's summary of the family: Transfer RNA (tRNA) molecules are approximately 80 nucleotides in length. Their secondary structure includes four short double-helical elements and three loops (D, anti-codon, and T loops). The record is from Rfam by way of RNAcentral. Lineage: Eukaryota; Metazoa; Chordata; Mammalia; Carnivora; Felidae.